AACGAACGCUGGCGGCGUGCCUAACACAUGCAAGUCGAGCGAGAAAGUCCCUUCGGGGGCGAGUAAAGCGGCGGACGGGUGAGUAAUACAUGGAUAAUCUUCCCUCGAGCCUGGGAUAACCCUGCGAAAGUGGGGCUAAUACCGGAUAAGACCACAUGACACAUGUCACGGGGUAGAAGGUGGCUUGUAUUUAUAUGAGCUAUCACUUGAGGAUGAGUCCAUGGCCUAUCAGCUAGUUGGUGAGGUAAGAGCUUACCAAGGCUAUGACGGGUAGCUGGUCUGAGAGGACGACUAGCCACACUGGGACUGAGACACGGCCCAGACUCCUACGGGAGGCAGCAGUGGGGAAUAUUGGGCAAUGGGCGAAAGCCUGACCCAGCGACGCCGCGUGGGUGAUGAAGGCCUUCGGGUUGUAAGUACUCUUUUCGGCCCGGGAAGGAAAGUACGUAAUGGGUUAAGUAACCCUACGUGCGGAUGACGGUACCGGCCGAUAAAGAAGACAACCGGCGUAACCUAACGUACG
Molecule: ribosomal RNA, 523 nt
Filed under: uncultured bacterium
Lineage: Bacteria
Description: bacterial SSU rRNA
Rfam family: Bacterial small subunit ribosomal RNA
Source: RNAcentral